Non-coding RNA from Hydra vulgaris (swiftwater hydra), 669 nucleotides. The record is from RefSeq and is a predicted model, not a curated record. NCBI's taxonomy places the organism in Eukaryota, Metazoa, Cnidaria, Hydrozoa, Anthoathecata, Hydridae.
GUCGUGAACUUUUAAAAAUGUUAAUAAACAUUAAAAACGCUUUAUUUCAAUAAUAUUGGUUUCAGUUUUAUGUAUCAAGAGGUUGCUCAAUGAACGUUUUUACCUUUAUACUAAUUCCUUUUGUAUUUUUCUUCAUUGUUUUGAAUGUAAUAAUCAUAGAAUCUUUUGUAUUUUUCUUCAUUGUUUUGAAUGCAGUAAUCUUAGAAUCUUUUGGUAUUAACCAUCAAUCAACAAUGGAUACAAAAAAUAAUAUUGCACUCGUUAUUUAUGAAAUGGGAAAAUAUAACGUAGCUUUAGAUAUUUUUUAUUUUGAUAAAAUACAAGCUGAUUUUUUUGGUAUCAACCAUCCGUCGACAAUAAAAACAAAAAAUAGUAUUACAACUUGUUUGAGCAAAUCGGAAAUAUAUAAGGAACCUUGAGAAAUAUAUACUUUUUGAUAUACACGAUCUAAAAUAUAUGGUAGCAACCAUACAUCAACAUUGAAUACAAAACAAAAUAUAGCAUUCUGGUAUAUCGUAAUGAGAAAAUUUCCUUAACGACGUUAAGAAAAUUUAUUCUGUUGUCGAAAUAUAAAUUGAAAUUUGGGAAUCAACCAUACUUCGUCAAAUAGAACAAAAUAUAACAUUUAAAUUUAUUUUUUUAGAUUAAAAGUUAGAUAUAAAUGUUUAA